GACGAACGCUGGCGGCGUGCCUAAUACAUGCAAGUAGAACGCUGAAGGAGGAGCUUGCUUCUCUGGAUGAGUUGCGAACGGGUGAGUAACGCGUAGGUAACCUGCCUGGUAGCGGGGGAUAACUAUUGGAAACGAUAGCUAAUACCGCAUAAUAGUAGAUGUUGCAUGACAUUUGCUUAAAAGGUGCAAUUGCAUCACUACCAGAUGGACCUGCGUUGUAUUAGCUAGUUGGUGGGGUAACGGCUCACCAAGGCGACGAUACAUAGCCGACCUGAGAGGGUGAUCAGCCACACUGGGACUGUGACACGGCCCAGACUCCCUCGGGAGGCAGCAGUAGGGAAACUUCGGCAAUGGGCGGAAGUCUGACCGAGCAACGCCGCGGGAGUGAAGAAGGUUUUCGGAUCGUAAAGCUCUGUUGUAAGGGAAGAACGAGUUUGAGAGUGGAAAGUUCACACUGUGACGGUAUCUUACCAGAAAGGGACGGCUAACUACGUG
Molecule: ribosomal RNA, 495 nt
Filed under: uncultured bacterium
Lineage: Bacteria
Description: partial 16S ribosomal RNA
Rfam family: Bacterial small subunit ribosomal RNA
Source: RNAcentral